Molecule: ribosomal RNA, 256 nt
Filed under: uncultured bacterium
Lineage: Bacteria
Description: partial 16S ribosomal RNA
Rfam family: Bacterial small subunit ribosomal RNA
Source: RNAcentral
UACGUAGGGGGCAAGCGUUGUCCGGAUUUAUUGGGCGUAAAGAGCGUGUAGGCGGCUUUACAGGUCCGUUGUGAAAACUCGAGGCUCAACCUCGAGACGCCGGUGGAAACCGUAAAGCUAGAGUCCGGAAGAGGAGAGUGGAAAUUCCUGGUGUAGCGGUGAAAUGCGCAGAUAAUCAGGAGGAACACCCGUGGCGAAAGCGGCUCUCUGGGACGGUACUGACGCUGAGACGCGAAAGCGUGGGGAGCAAACAGGG